RNAcentral lists this ribosomal RNA (268 nucleotides) under uncultured archaeon. Its description in RNAcentral is "partial 16S ribosomal RNA". It matches the Rfam family "Archaeal small subunit ribosomal RNA", at positions 719 to 982 of the family's 1478-position model. The record is from RNAcentral.
ACAGUCACACAUUAGACUACCCGGUAGUCCUAGCCGUAAACGAUACUCGCUAGGUGUCGGCCACGGUGCGACCGUUGUCGGUGCCGUAGGGAAGCCGUGAAGCGAGCCACCGUGGGAAGUACCGGCCGCAAGGCUAGAAACUUAAAGGAAUUGGCGGGGGAGCACCGCAACGGGAGGAGCGUGCGGUUCAAUUGGAUUCAACGCCGGACAACUCACCAGGAGCGACGGUUACAUGAAGGCCAGGCUGAUGACCUUGCCUGAUUUUCCG